CCUACGGGCGGCUGCAGUGGGGAAUAUUGGACAAUGGGGGCAACCCUGAUCCAGCCAUGCCGCGUGUGUGAAGAAGGCCCUCGGGUUGUAAAGCACUUUCAGUGAGGAAGAACGCCUGGUGGUUAAUACCCAUCAGGAAAGACAUCACUCACAGAAGAAGCACCGGCUAACUCCGUGCCAGCAGCCGCGGUAAUACGGAGGGUGCGAGCGUUAAUCGGAAUUACUGGGCGUAAAGCGCGCGUAGGUGGCUUGAUAAGCCGGUUGUGAAAGCCCCGGGCUCAACCUGGGAACGGCAUCCGGAACUGUCAAGCUAGAGUGCAGGAGAGGAAGGUAGAAUUCCCGGUGUAGCGGUGAAAUGCGUAGAGAUCGGGAGGAAUACCAGUGGCGAAGGCGGCCUUCUGGACUGACACUGACACUGAGGUGCGAAAGCGUGGGUAGCAAACAGGAUUAGAUACCCUAGUAGU
RNAcentral lists this ribosomal RNA (464 nucleotides) under Vreelandella stevensii. RNAcentral's name for it is "partial 16S ribosomal RNA". It matches the Rfam family "Bacterial small subunit ribosomal RNA", at positions 338 to 794 of the family's 1533-position model. The record is from RNAcentral. Lineage: Bacteria; Pseudomonadati; Pseudomonadota; Gammaproteobacteria; Oceanospirillales; Halomonadaceae.